Molecule: ribosomal RNA, 1412 nt
Filed under: uncultured bacterium
Lineage: Bacteria
Description: 16S ribosomal RNA
Rfam family: Bacterial small subunit ribosomal RNA
Source: RNAcentral
ACGCUGGCGGCGUGCUAACACAUGCAGUCGAGCGAGGAUAAUCGGAAGCUUGCUUUUGAUUAUUCGAGCGGCGGACGGGUGAGUAACGCGUGAGCAAUUCUGCCUUUCGACAGGGGGAUAACGCAUCGAAAGAUGUGCUAAUACCGCGUAAGACCACGGCAUCGCAUGGUGCAGGGGUCAAAGGAGCAAUCCGGUCGAAGAUGAGCUCGCGUCCGAUUAGCCAGUUGGCGGGGUAACGGCCCACCAAAGCGACGAUCGGUAAGCCGACCUGAGAGGGUGAUCGGCCACAUUGGAACUGAGAUACGGUCCAGACUCCUACGGGAGGCAGCAGUGGGGAAUAUUGGGCAAUGGGCGAAAGCCUGACCCAGCAACGCCGCGUGAGUGAGGAAGGGUUUCGGCUCGUAAAACUCUGUCCUCAGGGACGAAAGAAAUGACGGUACCUGAGUGAGGAAGCCCCGGCUAACUACGUGCCAGCAGCCGCGGUAAUACAGUAGGGGGCGAGCGUUGUCCGGAAUGAUUGGGCGUAAAAGGGCGCGCAGGCGGCCCGACAAGUCUGGCAGUGAAAGUCCCGCUUUCAAGGUGGGAAUUGCUUUGGAAACUAUCGGGCUUGAGUGCAGGAGAGGAAAGCGGAAUUACCGGUGUAGCGGUGAAAUGCGUAGAGAUCGGUAGGAACACCAGUGGCGAAGGCGGCUUUCUGGACUGAAACUGACGCUGAGGCGCGAAAGCGUGGGGAGCAAACAGGAUUAGAUACCCUGGUAGUCCGCACGGUAAACGAUGGAUGCCCGCUGUGUGCCUGUUUAGGUGCGUGGCCAAGCGAAAGCGUUAAGCAUCCCACCUGGGGAGUACGCCGGCAACGGUGAAACUCAAAGGAAUUGACGGGGGCCCGCACAAGCGGAGGAACAUGUGGUUUAAUUCGAAGCAACGCGAAGAACCCUUACCAGGCCUUGAGAUCCGGAUGACCGUCCCGUAAUGGGGACUUUCCUUCGGGACAUCCGAGACAGGUGGUGCAUGGUUGUCGUCAGCUCGUGUCGUGAGAUGUUGGGUUAAGUCCCGCAACGAGCGCAACCCUUAUGGUCAGUAGCCAGCGAGUCAAGUCGGGCACUCUGACAAGACUGCCGGGGUCAACCCGGAGGAAGGUGGGGAUGACGUCAAAUCAUCAUGCCCCUUAUGGCCUGGGCUACACACGUGCUACAAUGGCGCCGACAAAGAGAAGCGAUCCCGUGAGGGGGAGCAAAUCCCAAAAACGGCGUCCCAGUUCGGACUGUAGUCUGCAACCCGACUACACGAAGUUGGAAUCGCUAGUAAUCGCGAAUCAGAAUGUCGCGGUGAAUACGUUCCCGGGUCUUGUACACACCGCCCGUCACACCAUGGGAGUCCGGUAACGCCCGAAGUCAGUGGUCCAACCGCAAGGA